Molecule: ribosomal RNA, 469 nt
Filed under: uncultured bacterium
Lineage: Bacteria
Description: partial 16S ribosomal RNA
Rfam family: Bacterial small subunit ribosomal RNA
Source: RNAcentral
GACGAACGCUGGCGGCGUGCUUAACACAUGCAAGUCGAACGGAAAGGCCCUGCUUUUGUGGGGUGCUCGAGUGGCGAACGGGUGAGUAACACGUGAGUAACCUGCCCUUGACUUUGGGAUAACUUCAGGAAACUGGGGCUAAUACCGGAUAGAAGCUCCUGCUGCAUGGUGGGGGUUGGAAAGUUUCGGCGGUUGGGGAUGGACUCGCGGCUUAUCAGCUUGUUGGUGGGGUAGUGGCUUACCAAGGCUUUGACGGGUAGCCGGCCUGAGAGGGUGACCGGCCACAUUGGGACUGAGAUACGGCCCAGACUCCUACGGGAGGCAGCAGUGGGGAAUAUUGCACAAUGGGCGGAAGCCUGAUGCAGCAACGCCGCGUGCGGGAUGACGGCCUUCGGGUUGUAAACCGCUUUCAGCAGGGACGAAGCUUUUUGUGACGGUACCUGCAGAAGAAGCACCGGCUAACUACGUG